Molecule: small RNA, 28 nt
Filed under: Bombyx mori (domestic silkworm)
Lineage: Eukaryota; Metazoa; Arthropoda; Insecta; Lepidoptera; Bombycidae
Description: ovarian small RNA-23481
Source: RNAcentral
UAUCAAUAGCCGAAGGAACGUUAAAAGA